RNAcentral lists this ribosomal RNA (478 nucleotides) under uncultured bacterium. RNAcentral describes it as "partial 16S ribosomal RNA". It matches the Rfam family "Bacterial small subunit ribosomal RNA", at positions 28 to 523 of the family's 1533-position model. The record is from RNAcentral.
GACGAACGUUGGCGGCGUGCUUAACACAUGCAAGUCGAACGGUAAGGCCCUUCGGGGUACACGAGUGGCGAACGGGUGAGUAACACGUGGGUGCUCUGCCCUGCACUUCGGGAUACGCCUGGGAAACUGGGUCUAAUACCGGAUAGGACCACUGCCUGCAUGGGUGGGGGUGGGAAGCUUUGGCGGUGUGGGAUGGGCCCGCGGCCUAUCAGCUUGUUGGUGGGGUGAUGGCCUACCAAGGCGACGACGGGUAGCCGGCCUGCGAGGGUGACCGGCCACACUGGGACUGAGAUACGGCCCAGACUCCUACGGGAGGCAGCAGUGGGGAAUAUUGCACAAUGGGCGCAAGCCUGAUGCAGCGACGCCGCGUGAGGGAUGACGGCCUUCGGGUUGUAAACCUCUUUCAGCACCGACGAAGCGCAAGUGACGGUAGGUGCAGAAGAAGGACCGGCCAGCUACGUGCCAGCCGCCGCCGUAA